UACGUAGGGGGCAAGCGUUGUCCGGAAUUAUUGGGCGUAAAGCGCGCGCAGGCGGCCGUUUAAGUCUGGUGUUUAAGCCCGGGGCUCAACCCCGGUUCGCACUGGAAACUGGGCGGCUUGAGUGCAGGAGAGGAAAGCGGAAUUCCACGUGUAGCGGUGAAAUGCGUAGAUAUGUGGAGGAACACCAGUGGCGAAGGCGGCUUUCUGGCCUGUAACUGACGCUGAGGCGCGAAAGCGUGGGGAGCGAACAGG
This 252-nucleotide ribosomal RNA is filed under the name uncultured bacterium. Its description in RNAcentral is "partial 16S ribosomal RNA". It matches the Rfam family "Bacterial small subunit ribosomal RNA", at positions 524 to 776 of the family's 1533-position model. The record is from RNAcentral.